RNAcentral lists this long non-coding RNA (1372 nucleotides) under Phasianus colchicus (ring-necked pheasant). RNAcentral describes it as "lncRNA (ENSPCLG00000017920.1)". The record is from RNAcentral. Lineage: Eukaryota; Metazoa; Chordata; Aves; Galliformes; Phasianidae.
AAAAACUGUGCGUGAGAGGGCCAUGGAGCAGAUCUGGAAGCUUUAUGGUUUCUGUCAGGAGCCAUUUGGAAAACACCUCCAACCUUCUCAGAGAACAGACAUCGUCCUCAUGGCCCUUGAAAAGACCACUGAAGACUGCGCUGUUGAGGACGAUGAGUGGUCCGAAAUUAUACUGGAUAUGGUUCUGAGUCAGCCUAGCAGCUGGCUGAUGGAUGUGCCGGUGAUUAUGAGCUUCAUCCACAGACACAUGAAAAGCAGCAGCACAUCAGUUCAACAGACACUCUUCUCAGUGCUGGAAAUACUGGCCUACCAGUUUCCCAGGGAUGUGCUGAUGAGUGUGUUGAUCUACCUUCCACCGAAUGACAGCACUCUGCGUAUCUGGAAGAACAUGAUUUACUGCCCAAAGUCAUCAGAGAACGUUUUAGAUGUGCUGUGCACUGUGCUCAUGGAGGAAGAAAUCUGCGGGAUUCCCACAGGAGACUUGGGCCUCCUUCGCCUGACUGUGCCCGAGAUUCUUCAGUCCAUCCAUAGAAACCUGAAAAGAAGGCUUGCGUCACUUCAGCAGACUCUCUUCUCAUUGCUGAAUAUGCUGACCAACCUUUUUCCCAGAGAUCUGCUGACGGCUGUGUUGCUCCAUCUUCCACAGAAUGACAGCACUACUCUGGACAUCUGGAAGAGAGUGCUAGCUCCAACAGUGACUUCAGGAAUGCACUUGCAAGAACUGUGCCGUGUUUUUCAGGACCAACAGCUGUGCAUGAUCUUUAGCAUCACCGCAGUGGAUUUUGGCCUACUUUGCAUGGCUGUGAUGUGCCCCACUGAAGAGAUCCUGCAAGAGUUAUGUAACCCAGACCUCUUCCAGAUGUUUCUGAAGAUUGAAAGCUUGCCACUACUCUGGCUGGUGCUCAGAGGCCUUGUGCUUCUGUCAGAGAGACCUGAGACGGCAAGAGAAAUACAGGCCCUGCUGCCAGACAUCAUGGAGACCCUGCAGUUUGGCAAUGCGCACGUCACUCUUAAUGCGCUGACUAUCUUCAAAAACAUCAUGAAUCAUCUGGGGAAGAUGGAGGCGCGUCCCAUUGCUCUGGAGCUGGCUGGCAAGCUCCUGUAUCUAUUUAAUCAUGUGUCAGGUGAAGUACGAGAGUCUUCCAUCCUCCUCUUCGAAGAUGUGAUAGAGGCUGUGGUGUGGUGGCAAAAGGGAGAAAUGAAGAGGAAAGUACGCAGGGGCCUGCUUCCUUUGUUCUUUCGGAGCAGUGAUGAGAUCUCGAGUGUUGCACAGGCUGCCAGGGAAGCCCUUACCGCUUGUGCAAGGUUCCUGAAGUGGCAGGAGCUCGAGCAUCAGGCCGAGAAGAGGGAUGUGCUGGGGAGUGCUUGGUAA